RNAcentral lists this ribosomal RNA (492 nucleotides) under uncultured bacterium. RNAcentral's name for it is "partial 16S ribosomal RNA". It matches the Rfam family "Bacterial small subunit ribosomal RNA", at positions 29 to 507 of the family's 1533-position model. The record is from RNAcentral.
AGUGAACGCUGGCGGUAGGCCUAACACAUGCAAGUCGAACGGCAGCACAGUAAGAGCUUGCUCUUACGGGUGGCGAGUGGCGGACGGGUGAGGAAUGCAUCGGAAUCUACUUUUUCGUGGGGGAUAACGUAGGGAAACUUACGCUAAUACCGCAUACGACCUACGGGUGAAAGCAGGGGAUCUUCGGACCUUGCGCGAUUGAAUGAGCCGAUGUCGGAUUAGCUAGUUGGCGGGGUAAAGGCCCACCAAGGCGACGAUCCGUAGCUGGUCUGAGAGGAUGAUCAGCCACACUGGAACUGAGACACGGUCCAGACUCCUACGGGAGGCAGCAGUGGGGAAUAUUGGACAAUGGGCGCAAGCCUGAUCCAGCCAUACCGCGUGGGUGAAGAAGGCCUUCGGGUUGUAAAGCCCUUUUGUUGGGAAAGAAAAGCAGCAGGUUAAUACCCCGCUGUUCUGACGGUACCCAAAGAAUAAGCACCGGCUAACUUCGCG